AAAAAAAUAAAAACAGAUCCAUGGAACAGAAUAGAGAGCCCAGAAAUAAACCCAUACAUAUGUGGUCAAUUAAUUUACAGCGAAGGAGCCAAGAAUAUAUAAUGGGAAAGGACAGUCUCUUCAAUAACUGGUGUUGGGAAAACAACCAUUCUCUUACACCAUACACAAAAAUUAGUUCAAAAUGGAUUAAAGACUUUAAUGUCAGACCUGAAACCAUAAAACUCCUAGAAGAAGACAUAGGCAGUAACUUCCUGGACGUCAGUCUUGAUGAUGGUUUUUUGGAUUUGACACCAACAGCAAAGGCAACAAAAGCAAAAAUAAAGUGAGACUGCAUCAAACUAAAAAGCUUCUGCACAACAAAGGAAGCCAUUAACAAAAUGAAAAGGCAACCUGUGGAAUGGGAGAAAAUAUUUGCAAAUCAUAUAUCUGAUAAGUGGUUAAUCUUCAAAAUAUGUAAAGAGCUCAUUAAAUGGUAGCAAACAAACCAAUGGGCAGAGGAUCUGAAUGGACAUUUUUUCAAAGACAUACAAAUGGCCAACAGGUACGCAAAAAGAUGCUCAGCAUCACUAAUCAUCAGGUAAAUACAAAUCAAAACCACAAUGAGAUAUCACCUCACACCUGUUAGAAUGGCUGUCAUCGAAAAGACAAGAAAUGUGUUGGCAAGGAUGUGGAGAAAAGGGACCCCUCGUGCACUGUUGGCAGGAAUGUAAAUUGGUGCAGCCACUACGGAAAGCUAUGGAGGUUCUUCAAAAAAUUAAAAAUAGAACUACCAUAUGACCCACCAAUUCCACAUCUGGGUAUUUAUGUGAAAGAAAUGAAAACACCAACUUGAAAAGAUAUAUGCACCCCCAUGUUCGCUGCAGCAUUAUUUAUAGUUUUAUAAUUUGUGAACUUAUAUAUACUUAUAAAUUUAUAAUUUACAUUAUUAUACAUGCACACACACACGAAUAUUACUCAGCCAUAAAAAAGGAAGUCCUGCUGUUUGUGACAAUAUGGAUGGACCUUGAGGGCAUUAUGAAAGCACUAGCUGGGCAGGAGAAGGGAUGCAAAGACAAGACAGUCACUGCCUUCGACCUUCAGCCUGCCUAUGUGAGGGAGGCGCAACUUGGGAUUUACCACAAGCCAGGAGUUCCACACCUAAUGAAUAGACCAAACCCAGCCCAUUGUCAACAGAGAAGAGUCCAUCUCAAACAUAAAAGAUUUUAAAUCAAAAUGGAUGUUAGAGGAGCAUGAUUCCUGGCAUUGUUGGGCAGCCAGCAUUGUCUCUAGCAGCUGACAGGAUCCCAGCUUCACCUUCACACGCAGGCCUCAGGCAGUUCCAGGCACCCCUUCAUGCCAGCAAAACGGAUAAACAAUUCUACUUUAAAUCUUUACACCACAUCAUGUCGGAGAAGAGAACAUAUUUCUUCUAAUAGCUGUCACAGAACAGAAAGAAAGCUUCUCUUUUCAAAAAAAUGUUUUCUUGUCCUUUGCUGUAAUCGAGCAAUGUGGCCAGUAAGGACUUACCCCUGCAGGUGGGAUUAGGUCAGUCCCACCCAACCUAUGACUCAAGAGUAAGGCAGUGGACAGGUCCCCAGGGGAAGAUGAGAGUAGGAAAUGAAUAAGCGAUGGAAGAUGUUCACUACAAGUCUCUACAAGAUGACAAGUGCCACACUGCACUGUGGGGAUAUAAUCCUCAAAGUCUUAAUUCCUGCCCUCCAGGAGCUCACAGCCUAGAGGAGGAGACAGACAGUUAUAACAGCACAAGGAGAGAAACAUGUCCAUGAGAGUAUAGAGGACGGUUACCC
Molecule: long non-coding RNA, 1787 nt
Filed under: Equus asinus (donkey)
Lineage: Eukaryota; Metazoa; Chordata; Mammalia; Perissodactyla; Equidae
Description: lncRNA (ENSEASG00005037339.1)
Source: RNAcentral